CAUUAGAGAAAUUUAUGGGGAGUUGAGCUGGCUGAAAGGCAUGUGCUCGCUUUCUAAAUUAUCUUAUCCAUACACCUGUGCACCUUUGGGGAGAAAAUGCUAUCUGAUAGUAAAUUCUCCUCGUUUUUACACAAACUCUUAUAAUAACAUUGAACGUGAUCUAGUGCCGCAAGGCCUUAAUCAAAUAUACAACUUUUAACAACGGAUCUCUUGGCUCUCGCAUCGAUGAAGAACGCAGCGAAUUGCGAUAAGUAAUGUGAAUUGCAGAAUUCAAUGAAUCAUCGAAUUUUUGAACGCAUCUUGCGCUCCCUGGUAUUCCGGGGAGCAUGCCUGUUCGAGUGUCGUAAACUUCUCAAUCCAGCUAGUUUUUGCGAACUAUGUUGGCAUUGGAUUUGGGUUUUGCUGCGUUAAUGCAGCUGGCCUUAAAGUUAUUAGCUGAAUCUUGUCUGAUGAAGACUGGUUUGACUCGGCGUGAUAAUUAUCUGACCGCUGAGGACAUCGCAAGAUGGCCAGACUUUUUGACUGAGAGUCGCUUCUAAUCGUCGGAUUCUAUCUGACAUGAAGAAUUUACACUUCACCCCUUUGACCUCGAAUCAGGUAGGACUACCC
RNAcentral lists this ribosomal RNA (609 nucleotides) under uncultured Basidiomycota. RNAcentral describes it as "eukaryotic LSU rRNA". The stretch from base 191 to 344 matches the Rfam family "5.8S ribosomal RNA". Lineage: Eukaryota; Fungi; Basidiomycota. The record is from RNAcentral.